Molecule: ribosomal RNA, 301 nt
Filed under: uncultured bacterium
Lineage: Bacteria
Description: partial 16S ribosomal RNA
Rfam family: Bacterial small subunit ribosomal RNA
Source: RNAcentral
CAGCAGCCACGGGAAUACAGAGGGUGCGAGCGUUAAUCGGAUUUACUGGGCGUAAAGCGUGCGUAGGCGGCUUGUUAAGUCGGAUGUGAAAUCCCUGAGCUUAACUUAGGAAUUGCAUUCGAUACUGGGAAGCUAGAGUAUGGGAGAGGAUGGUAGAAUUCCAGGUGUAGCGGUGAAAUGCGUAGAGAUCUGGAGGAAUACCGAUGGCGAAGGCAGCCAUCUGGCCUAAUACUGACGCUGAGGUACGAAAGCAUGGGGAGCAAACAGGAUUAGAUACCCCCGUAGUCCCUGUCUCUUAUAC